GAUGAACGCUGGCGGCGUGCUUAACACAUGCAAGUCGAACGGAAAGGCCCAAGCUUGCUUGGGUACUCGAGUGGCGAACGGGUGAGUAACACGUGGGUGAUCUGCCCUGCACUUCGGGAUAAGCCUGGGAAACUGGGUCUAAUACUGGAUAGGACCACUUCUUGGAUGUUGUGGUGGAAAGUUUUUUCGGUGUGGGAUGAGCUCGCGGCCUAUCAGCUUGUUGGUGGGGUAAUGGCCUACCAAGGCGUCGACGGGUAGCCGGCCUGGGAGGGUGUACGGCCACAUUGGGACUGAGAUACGGCCCAGACUCCUACGGGAGGCAGCAGUGGGGAAUUUUGCACCAUGGGCGCAAGCCUGAUGCAGCGACGCCGCGUGGGGGAUGACGGCCUUCGGGUUGUAAACUCCUUUCGCUAGGGACGAAGCGUUUUGUGACGGUACCUGGAGAAGAAGCACCGGCUAACUACGUG
Molecule: ribosomal RNA, 467 nt
Filed under: uncultured bacterium
Lineage: Bacteria
Description: partial 16S ribosomal RNA
Rfam family: Bacterial small subunit ribosomal RNA
Source: RNAcentral